GCGCCCAUAGCUUAAUGGAUAAAGCAAGCGCGUUCUAAGCGUUAGACUGGGGGUUCGAAUCCCUCUGGGCGUA
RNAcentral lists this transfer RNA (73 nucleotides) under Candidatus Daviesbacteria bacterium. Its description in RNAcentral is "tRNA-Arg". It matches the Rfam family "tRNA". Rfam says of the family: Transfer RNA (tRNA) molecules are approximately 80 nucleotides in length. Their secondary structure includes four short double-helical elements and three loops (D, anti-codon, and T loops). Lineage: Bacteria; Candidatus Daviesiibacteriota. The record is from RNAcentral.